Molecule: ribosomal RNA, 539 nt
Filed under: Ascochyta rabiei
Lineage: Eukaryota; Fungi; Ascomycota; Dothideomycetes; Pleosporales; Didymellaceae
Description: eukaryotic LSU rRNA
Rfam family: 5.8S ribosomal RNA (bases 182-335)
Source: RNAcentral
GUAACAAGGUUUCCGUAGGUGAACCUGCGGAAGGAUCAUUACCUAGAGUUUGUGGGCUUUGCCCGCUACCUCUUACCCAUGUCUUUUGAGUACUUACGUUUCCUCGGCGGGUCCGCCCGCCGAUUGGACAAAAUCAAACCCUUUGCAGUUGCAAUCAGCGUCUGAAAAACAUAAUAGUUACAACUUUCAACAACGGAUCUCUUGGUUCUGGCAUCGAUGAAGAACGCAGCGAAAUGCGAUAAGUAGUGUGAAUUGCAGAAUUCAGUGAAUCAUCGAAUCUUUGAACGCACAUUGCGCCCCUUGGUAUUCCAUGGGGCAUGCCUGUUCGAGCGUCAUUUGUACCUUCAAGCUUUGCUUGGUGUUGGGUGUUUGUCUCGCCUCUGCGUGUAGACUCGCCUUAAAACAAUUGGCAGCCGGCGUAUUGAUUUCGGAGCGCAGUACAUCUCGCGCUUUGCACUCAUAACGACGACGUCCAAAAGUACAUUUUUACACUCUUGACCUCGGAUCAGGUAGGGAUACCCGCUGAACUUAAGCAUAUC